This 481-nucleotide ribosomal RNA is filed under the name uncultured bacterium. RNAcentral describes it as "bacterial SSU rRNA". It matches the Rfam family "Bacterial small subunit ribosomal RNA", at positions 28 to 507 of the family's 1533-position model. The record is from RNAcentral.
GACGAACGCUGGCGGCGUGCCUAACACAUGCAAGUCGAGCGGAGUCAGCAAGAUGAAGUUUUCGGAUGGAAUCUUGUUGAUUUAGCGGCGGACGGGUGAGUAACGCGUGAGCGACCAACCUUGCACAGGGGGAUAACGGACCGAAAGGUUCACUAAUACCGCAUGAGACCACGGUGUUGCAUGACACAGGGGUCAAAGGAGGAAUCCGGUGCAAGACGGGCUCGCGUCCGAUUAGGUAGUUGGAGGGGUAACGGCCCACCAAGCCUAUGAUCGGUAGCCGACCUGAGAGGGUGAUCGGCCACAUUGGAACUGAGAUACGGUCCAAACUCCUACGGGAGGCAGCAGUGGGGAAUAUUGGGCAAUGGGGGAAACCCUGACCCAGCAACGCCGCGUGAAGGAAGAAGGUUUUCGGAUUGUAAACUUCUGUCCUUGGUGAAGAGAAGAAGACGGUAGCCAAGGAGGAAGCCCCGGUAACUACGUG